AAUGAACGCUAGCGGCGUGCUUAACACAUGCAAGUCGAACGAGAACGGGUUAUAGCUUGCUAUAAUUGUCAGCUAAGUGGCGCACGGGUGGGUAAUGUAUAGGCAAUAUGCCGCUUAAUAAGGGAUAACAAAUGGAAACGUUUGCUAAUACCUUAUACUCCUUAUUAACAUAAGUUAAUAAGGGAAAGAUUUAUUGUUAAGAGAUUGGACUGUAUUGUAUUAGUUAGUUGGUGGGGUAAUGGCUUACCAAGACUAUGACACAUAACUGGUUUGCGGGGAUGGUCAGGAACACGGGAACUGAAACACAGUCCAGACUCCUACGGGAGGAAGCAGUGGGGAAUAUUGCACAAUGGACGAAAGUCUGAUGCAGCAACGCCGCGUGGAGGAUGACACAUUUCGGUGCGUAAACUCCUUUUAUAUGAGAAGAGAAUGACGGUAUUAUAUGAAUAAGCACCGGCUAACUCCGUGCCAGCCGCCGCAGUAA
This 484-nucleotide ribosomal RNA is filed under the name uncultured bacterium. RNAcentral's name for it is "partial 16S ribosomal RNA". It matches the Rfam family "Bacterial small subunit ribosomal RNA", at positions 29 to 523 of the family's 1533-position model. The record is from RNAcentral.